RNAcentral lists this long non-coding RNA (1472 nucleotides) under Eucalyptus grandis. Its description in RNAcentral is "long non-coding RNA (EGRA_LNC004257)". The record is from RNAcentral. Lineage: Eukaryota; Viridiplantae; Streptophyta; Magnoliopsida; Myrtales; Myrtaceae.
AUUUUUAUGUCCAUGGCAUUUGCAGUCCCAUUGCCCUUAUUGCCAUUUUUGCCAUUUCCCUCUUCUCAGAUACUGUUAUGGAGUUUGGCAAAUGUAGUUGAGCUGUGUAGUAAACAACUUCUCUCACAGUAGCAUUGAGAUCAAUCCAUCGUCUUGCAUCACAUAAGCCUGAACUCAUAAAAAUAAAGAACCCUGAUAAGUGAUGAGAAGAUAGUUGCUUAUCAUUUAUCAAUGAAUAUUAAAUCACCACAAAAUAUAGGACAGUUGAAUUAGGUUCAAUUUUUUUUUAUGUGAACGUCACAAAUUAUUUCAUAAAAACCAGAGAAAUGAAGGAUUUGAGGGAUUUGGUUCAUUAGUAUGAAUAAGUUUCGAGCUCAAUGUAAAAACUUUGUUUUGAUAGUAUUAAGUGGUGCUUUAGGGUUAAUAGAGACAAAAUUUUAAAAAGCAAGCCAUAUCAAGUAACCAUCUCCAAAUAGGACAAUGCAUUAUCCACAGAACAUCCUCAAAACAGAUAGAAACCUAUCAAAGGAAAUUAAAUUCCUCGUGCACAAGAGUUAGUCCUUUAGAAGUUUGCUUCAAACUUGGAUGAAUGUGAAUCUCCACCCAACCUUCUAGAGAGCAUGUCUCACCAUAUUUAACGAGAAAUCAGCCAAUACUUGUUGAAUUCAUAACUAAUCACCACAGACAGACAGCCGGAGUUUUGAUUUCAUCUAUAAUAUUACGAAUCAAUUGCAAACCCCAGUGUCUUAGCAAUAUCAUCCCUACCUCCGGUCAUCCAGAUUUUCCUUCUCUUAUUAGGUCCCUUCAAAAUUUUCUUAUUUUCUUUUUUUGCUUGACUAGCAAAGCAGCUAGGUUAUAGUUAACAAAAAGAAACAACUUAAUUACCAAUCCACGGGGAUGACUGCUCCAAAGCCUGUCCUCAAAAGUUUUCCUGCCUGCCUAAAAUACUUUGAAUACUCUAGCAUUUCACUCAAAGAUUGCACAAGCCAACUUGCAGUGUGGAUACGAAAAAGAGUACGUAGAUACGCAAUUUCCUCCCACAUACAUCUACGUCACCCCCGAGAACCUCAAAUCCAACAGCACAGCAAGAACCGCACUGUCCUGUCAUCCUAAAAUUUCCAGGCCACAAAUCGCCACAAAACUACAAUACGCGUGCACACGAGUGAACUAGCAACAAUUUCCACCAAAGUUGCAAUGGCGAAAGCACAACAACGGAAACUAUGAGAUGAUAACUCAGCAAACACCUAAGUGCCAGUGCCGAACACACACACACACACACAGACACGGACUUUAUGCACAAAGACACAAAACACUGACCUGUUAGCGAUCCAAUAAGCUACAAGUACAGCGAAAACAAACAGCCAGACGGAAUUUCUCAUAACAGAGAUUGUAUCGAAAGAAAAGCAGAGACCUUGGAACCAUCUCGGCUCUGACCUAGAGCAAACGAGUCCCGGCGACCCCUGAGCAAGAAC